GCGACCUCAACUCAAGCAAGAACACCUGCUGAAUUUAAGAAUAUAAUUAAGUGGAGGAAAAGAAAUUUACAAGGAUUCCCCUAGUAGUGGCGAGUGAACCGGGAAGACCCCAACAUGAAAAUCGGGUGGCACCAUCACCUGAAUUGUAGUCUAUAGAAGCAUCCUCAGCAGCAGACCUGGGCCAAGUCCCUCGGAAGGGAAUGCUUGAGAGGGUGACAACCUCCUCUAGCCGAGACCCUGCCACAUCACGAGGCAUUAUCGGUGAGUCAGGUUGUUUGGUAAUACAGUCCCAAUUGGGUGGUAAAUUCCAUCCAAGGCUAAAUACAGGCAAGAGACUAAUAGAGAACAAGUACCAUGACGCAAAGGUGAAAAGUACAUUGAAAAUACAGUUAAAGAGUGCUUGAAAUUGCCGAGAGGGAGGUGAAUGGAGGUUGUCAAUGCAUCUCGUUCAGAUGUGGAAUGGCUCAAGAUGGUCCACCACUUAACUUGAGGUGCAAACCAACACAAUUUGAUGCAUGUUCACAAGCAUGCGUGGGUUACUACUAGUUGGUUUUCCAUCGAUGUGUCGAGGAACGAAGCGUGCACCAUUUUGGCAGGCCAUGUGCACUUGCGCAGUCGUGGUGUUGAUUGGCGGGCUUUCCAUUUGACUUGUAUUGAAACACGGACCAAGGAGUCUAACAUGUGUGCAAGUCAGCGGGUUUGAAAACCUAUGAGGCACAAUGAAGCUGACAAGUGACAUCACCUCUCUGGGGGGGUGCAUCAUCGACCGACCUUGAGCUUAUGCGAAGGGUUUGAGUGUGAGCACACCUGUCGGGACACAAAAUAUUGUGAAUUAUGCUUGAGCAGGGCGAAGCCAGAGGGAACCCUAGUGGAGGCUUGUAGUGAUACUGACGUGAAAAUCGUUCGUCUGACUUGGGUAUAGGGGUGAAAGACUAAUCGAACAAUCUAGUAGCUAGUUUCCUUUGAAUUUUCCCUCAGGAUAGCUAGAGAUCAUGCACAAUUUUUAUCUGGUAAAGCAAAUGAUUAGAGGCAUUAGGGGCAUAAUGCCCUCAACCUAUUCUGAAACUUUAAAUAGGUAAGAGGGUGCAACUGCUCCAUUUAGUUGUGUCAUGGAAUUGAGAGCUCCAAGUGGGCCAUUUUUGGUAAGAAAAACUGGCAAUGCGGAUGAACUGGAAGAUGAGUUAUGGUGUUAAAUUGCACACUAACCUAGAUCCUACAAAGGGUGUUGGUUGACUAAAACAACAGGACAAUUGUCAUGGAAUUAGAAAUCCUCUAAGGAGUGUGUAACAACUCACCUGCCAAAUAAACUAGCCCUGAAAAUGGAUGGCGCUGAAGCACGCAACAUAUACUCUACCAUCGGAGCAAUUACAUAGAUUUGAUGAGAAGGAGGAUGUAGGGUUCAUUGAGAAACCAUGGGUGUGAGCUUGGGUGGAUCAGCCCCCGGUGUAGAUCUUAGUGGUAGUAGAAAAUAUUCAAAUAAUAAAUUUGAAUACUGAAGAGGGGAAAGGUUCCAUGUGAAAAACACUUGGACAUGGGUUAGUCAAUCCUAAGAUAUGGGGAAGCCUUGUAUCAAGGGUGCACUCUGCACAAGCAUAAAAAAGGAAUCAGGUUAGUAUUCUUGAACCAGGUCAUGGUGGUGGGCGGCAACGUUAGGAAAUCCAGAGAUAUUGUUGGGGGCCCUAGGAAGAGUUAUCUUUUCUUUUUGACAUCUUCCCCACCCUAGAAUUGGUUCACUCGGAGAUAGGGUCCAGGAACUAGAAGAUAACCACACGUCUUACAGUGUCCGGUGCACCCUCGAUAGCCCUUUAAAAUCUGGAGUCCCAAGUACUCAUAACUGCACCAGGUCUCCAAGGUGAACAACCUUUGGUCAAUAGAACAAUAUAGGUAAGGGAAGUCAGCAAAACAGAUCUGUAACUUCAAGAAAAGGAUUGGCUCUGAGGGCUAGGCCUAGGGGUUUGUGCCCUCAACUUGUGGGCUGUCAGCAAUCUUCCCGAGCUACUCUUGCAGCGAUGGCGGGUAGUCAUGUGCCAAUUGGGCUAUGGGCAUAGAAUGCCCCCUAUCGGGUUUUUCCCUAGGUAAAGAACAAUCGACUCAUAAUUGGUACGUACAAGGGGAAUCCAACUAUUUAAUUAAAAUAUAGAAUUGUGAUGGUCCCUACAGAUGUUGACGCAAUAUGAUUUCUACCCAGUGCUCUAAAUGUCAAAGUGAAGAAAUUCAACCAAGCUCAGGUAAAUGGUAGGAGUAACUAUGACUCUCUGAAGGUAGUGAAGUGCCUCGUCUUCUAAUUAGUUACACGCAUGAAUGGAUUAACGAUAUUCCCACUAUCCCUAUCUACUAUCUAGCGAAACCAUAACCAAGUUAACGGGCUUUGCAGAAUUAGCGGGGAAAGAAGACCCUGUUGAGCUUGACUCUAGUCCGACUUUGUGAAAUGAUUUGAGAGGGGUGGAAUAAGUGGGAGCCAUUUUCGGCGCAAGUGAAAUACCACUACUUUUAACAUUAUUUUACUUAUUCCAUGGGGUAGAGAUGGGGCACUGCCCCUAUUUUUCUCCUUAAGGCACGUUUCAGUGGGUCGAUCUAGAUGGAAGACAUUGUCAGGUGGGGAUUUUGGCUGGGGCAGCACAUCUGUUAAAAGAUAACGCAGGUGUCCUAAGAUGAGCUCAAUGAGAACAUAAAUAUCGUGUGAAACAAAAGGGUAAAAUCUCAUUUGAUUUUGAUUUUCAAUACAAAUAAAAAUUGUGAAAGAGUGGCCUAUCAAUCCUUUAGAUUUUUGGAAUUUGAAGUUAGAGGUGUCAGAAAAGUUACCACAGGGAUAACUGGCUUGUGGCCACCAAGCAUUCAUAGCAACAUUGCUUUUUUAUCCUUCGAUGUUGGUUCUUCCUAUCAUUGUGAAGCAGAAUUCACCAAGUAUUGGAUUGUUCAUCCACCAAUAGGGAACAUGAGUUGGGUUUAGACCAUCAUGAGAUAGCUUAUUUUUACCCUAGUGAUGAACUGCACCAUAAUAGUAAUUCAACUUAAUACGAGAGGAACCGUUGAUUCACACAAUUUGUCAUUGUGCUUGGUUAAAAAGCUAAUGGUGCGAAGCUACCAUGUGUCAGAUUAUGACUGAACGCCUCUAGGUUGGAAUCCACACUAGAAGUCGUGCAUGUCACUCUCCGAAUGUAUCCUGACACAUAGAUGGGAGUCCCUUUGUCACCUGUAGGGGCCCGUGUCAUCUGCAAUCUACAACCGUGAAGCAUCUUGUUCAAGGCAGCUUUGAAUUUCAAUUCUAAAUGGGCGUUCAGAAGAAUCCUUUGCAGACGACUUAAAUAUGUGAUGGGGUAUUGUCAGUGGCAGAGUGGCCUUGCUACCGUGAUCCACUGAGAUUUAGCCCUUUGUCGCCUCGAUUCAG
Molecule: ribosomal RNA, 3388 nt
Filed under: Pinus taeda (loblolly pine)
Lineage: Eukaryota; Viridiplantae; Streptophyta; Pinopsida; Pinales; Pinaceae
Description: eukaryotic LSU rRNA
Rfam family: Eukaryotic large subunit ribosomal RNA
Source: RNAcentral